Molecule: ribosomal RNA, 911 nt
Filed under: uncultured archaeon
Lineage: Archaea
Description: bacterial SSU rRNA
Rfam family: Archaeal small subunit ribosomal RNA
Source: RNAcentral
GCUACUGCCAUCAGAGUUCGAUUAAGCCAUGUUAGUCGAGGGUACCUCUUCUUCUUCGGAGGAUGAGGUAACCCGGCGGACGGCUCAGUAACACGUGGAUAACUUGCCCUUGGGUCUGGGAUAACCCCUGGGAAACUGGGGCUAAUACCGGAUAGAGCAUCGAUCGCUGGAAUGCAUGAUGCUCGAAAACUACGGUGCCCAAGGAUAGGUCUGCGGCUGAUUAGGUUGUUGUUGAUGUAAUGGACCAACAAGCCUACGAUCGGUACGGGUUGUGAGAGCAAUAGCCCGGAGAUGGGUUCUGAGAAAAGAACCCAGGUCCUACGGGACGCAUCAGGCGCGAAAACUUUACAAUGUGCGAAAGCACGAUAAGGGAACUCUGAGUGCCCCCUAAGGGGGCUGUUCUAGUGUCUAAAAAGCGAUAGAAGUAAGGGCUGGGCAAGACCGGUGCCAGCCGCCGCGGUAACACCGGCAGCCCAAGUGGUAGCCACGUUUAUUGGGUCUAAAGCGUUCGUAGCCGGCUUGGUAAGUUCCUUGGUAAAUUUAGCCGCUUAACGGUUAAGCUUUCAGGGAAUACUGCUUGGCUUGGGACUGGGAGAGGUCAGAGGUACUCCAGGGGUAGGGGUGAAAUCCAUUAAUCCUUGGGGGACCACCGGUAGCGAAGGCGUCUGACCAGACCAGCUCCGACGGUGAGGGACGAAGGCUAGGGGCGCGAACCGGAUUAGAUACCCGGGUAGUCCUAGCUGUAAACGAUGCGGGCUAGGUGUUGGCAUUACUGCGAGUGGUGCCAGUGCCGAAGGGAAGCCGUUAAGCUCGCCAUCUGGGGAGUACGGUCGCAAGGCUUAAACUUAAAGGAAUUGGCGGGGGAGCACCACAACGGGUGGAGCCUGCGGUUCAAUUGGAUCAACGCCGGA